Molecule: ribosomal RNA, 396 nt
Filed under: uncultured bacterium
Lineage: Bacteria
Description: bacterial SSU rRNA
Rfam family: Bacterial small subunit ribosomal RNA
Source: RNAcentral
GACGAACGCUGGCGGCGUGCCUAACACAUGCAAGUCGAGCGGUAAGGCCCUUUCGGGGGUACACGAGCGGCGAACGGGUGAGUAACACGUGGGUGACCUGCCCUCAGCUCUGGGAUAAGCCUGGGAAACUGGGUCUAAUACUGGAUAUGACUCCACGGUGCAUGUCGUGGGGUGGAAAGCCUUGUGCGGCUGAGGAUGGGCCCGCGGCCUAUCAGCUUGUUGGUGGGGUGANGGCCUACCAAGGCGACGACGGGUAGCCGGCCUGAGAGGGCGACCGGCCACACUGGGACUGAGACACGGCCCAGACUCCUACGGGAGGCAGCAGUGGGGAAUCUUGCGCAAUGGGCGAAAGCCUGACGCAGCGACGCCGCGUGAGGGAUGACGGCCUGGUUGUAA